GGGAGGAAAUCAUGCCAGCCACAUCCCCACGGAGAGAGUCGAGGAUGGGGAAUGACGCCGCUAAAGGCAAGGGCGGAUGCUUUGGGAAGGAGCCGCAAGGUGGGAAGAAGGGAGGACCUGUAUCCUGGAUGCUUUCAGGGCUACCAAAACGAACCACACCAUCAGGCUUCCUGUUUAAAUUCUUACUCCCCUUUGGAAAAGUGUCUCUUCAGACCUGGCCCAUGUGAUUGGACUCUCCCACACUACUUCCAGAACUAUUUUAAUCCACAGGCACCAGAACCCAUCGCUUUACCAGCAGUAACAAGAACACUGCAUUGGUGUUAGAAACAGAAGUGCGCUGGAACAGUGAGAUGAAGACACUUAGCAAAUGCACGUGGGCUAAGAAGAGCUUCCAGUGUGCACUCACUUGUCCCAGGACCUGAGACAGGUGGGGGGCAGAAGCCACUCUGUGUGUGACUACAGAAAUUGCACAAAAUCCCAAUCAGCACCGGGUGGAUCCAGCACUAAAAUGGCUAUUGAUUAAUAAAAAAAAAAAAAAAAAAAAAAAAA
Molecule: long non-coding RNA, 549 nt
Organism: Passer domesticus (house sparrow)
Lineage: Eukaryota; Metazoa; Chordata; Aves; Passeriformes; Passeridae
Exons: 2
Source: RefSeq, a predicted model, not a curated record